RNAcentral lists this ribosomal RNA (507 nucleotides) under Ganoderma gibbosum. Its description in RNAcentral is "partial small subunit ribosomal RNA". It matches the Rfam family "Bacterial small subunit ribosomal RNA", at positions 406 to 948 of the family's 1533-position model. The record is from RNAcentral. Lineage: Eukaryota; Fungi; Basidiomycota; Agaricomycetes; Polyporales; Polyporaceae.
UCAUAGAAUUUCUUUAAAUUCAUGAUGUCGUAAGGGAAAAUAAUGAUAAUACCUUACUAUGAGUGUCGUCCAAAUCUGGUGCCAGAAGACUCGGUAAGACCAGAGACGCAAACGUUAAUCAUCAUAAACAGGCGUAAAGGGUUUGUAGGCAGCUUUUAUAAUAAUAAAAAAAAAAUUUUUAAUAUAAUUGAAAGCUAGAAUCAAAAAGAGGUUAUAGUGUAUAACGCCUAGAGGAGGGCUGAUAUCCGUAGAUCCUAGGCAGAAUACUCAGGGCGAAGGCCACUCUCCACUAAUGAUUGACGCUGAGAAACGAAGGUUAGGGUAGGAAAUAGGAUUAGAUACCCCGGUACUCCUUUCUGUAAACGAUGAAUGGUAGUCAUUAGUUUAAUUUAAAUAACUAGAGGCGAAGUUAACACAAUAACCAUUCCGCCUUGUGAGUACUACUGCAAAGUAGAAAACAAAAAAAUUAGUCGGUCUCGAAGCAAACGGAGUGAAGCAUGUUAUUUA